GUAAAUAUAGUUCAACAAUAACAUUAGAUUGUGAAUCUAAAAUUAGAAGUUUAAUUCUUCUUAUUUACC
RNAcentral lists this transfer RNA (69 nucleotides) under Tachyglossus aculeatus (Australian echidna). RNAcentral's name for it is "transfer RNA-His". It matches the Rfam family "tRNA". Rfam says of the family: Transfer RNA (tRNA) molecules are approximately 80 nucleotides in length. Their secondary structure includes four short double-helical elements and three loops (D, anti-codon, and T loops). Further hydrogen bonds mediate the characteristic L-shaped molecular structure. tRNAs have two regions of fundamental functional importance: the anti-codon, which is responsible for specific mRNA codon recognition, and the 3' end, to which the tRNAs corresponding amino acid is attached (by aminoacyl-tRNA synthetases). tRNAs cope with the degeneracy of the genetic code in two manners: having more than one tRNA (with a specific anti-codon) for a particular amino acid; and 'wobble' base-pairing, i.e. permitting non-standard base-pairing at the 3rd anti-codon position. The record is from RNAcentral. Lineage: Eukaryota; Metazoa; Chordata; Mammalia; Monotremata; Tachyglossidae.